UGGGCAACCUGCCCUCAGCUCUGGGAUAACUCCAAGAAAUUGGGGCUAAUACCGGAUAUGACUGCUGACCGCAUGGUCUGGUGGUGGAAAGAUUUAUCGGCUGGGGAUGGGCCCGCGGCCUAUCAGCUUGUUGGUGGGGUAGUGGCCUACCAAGGCGACGACGGGUAGCCGGCCUGGAGAGGGCGACCGGCCACACGUGGGACUGAGACACGGCCCAGACCUCCGUACGGGGAG
RNAcentral lists this ribosomal RNA (234 nucleotides) under uncultured bacterium. RNAcentral describes it as "partial 16S ribosomal RNA". It matches the Rfam family "Bacterial small subunit ribosomal RNA", at positions 118 to 347 of the family's 1533-position model. The record is from RNAcentral.